GACGUAGGAUGCGAGCGUUGUCCGGAUUUAUUGGGCGUAAAGAGUUCGUAGGUGGUUCGUUAAGUCUGGUGUAAAAGACUGGGGCUCAACCCUGGGAUCGCACUGGAUACUGGCGGACUGGAGUGUGGUAGAGGCAAGCGGAAUUCCCAGUGUAGCGGUGAAAUGCGUAGAUAUUGGGAAGAACACCGGUGGCGCAGGCGGCUUGCUGGGCCAUAACUGACACUGAGGAACGAAAGCUAGGGGAGCGAAUGGG
This 253-nucleotide ribosomal RNA is filed under the name uncultured bacterium. RNAcentral's name for it is "partial 16S ribosomal RNA". It matches the Rfam family "Bacterial small subunit ribosomal RNA", at positions 524 to 776 of the family's 1533-position model. The record is from RNAcentral.